CACGGAGUUAGCCGAUCCUUAUUCUCAGAGUACAUUCAGCUUCGUAUACAUACGAAGGUUUAUUCCCCUGCAAAAGCAGUUUACAACCCGUAGGGCCGUCUUCCUGCACGCGGCAUGGCUGGUUCAGACUUGCGUCCAUUGACCAAUAUUCCUUACUGCUGCCUCCCGUAGGAGUCUGGUCCGUGUCUCAGUACCAGUGUGGGGGGUCAUCCUCUCAGAUCCCCUAAACAUCGUAGCCUUGGUAUGCCGUUACCACACCAACUAGCUAAUGUUCCGCAUGCCCAUCUUAAUCCUAUAAAUAUUUGAUUAUUAAAUAAUGCUAUUCAAUAAUGUUAUGCGGUGUUAAUCUCUCUUUCGAGAGGCUAUCCCCCAGAUUAAGGUAGGUUACAUACGUGUUACGCACCCGUGCGCCACUCUCAAGAAAAGCAAGCUCUUCUAUCCCGUCCGACUUGCAUGUAUUAGGCCUGCCGCUAGCGUUCAUCCUGAGCCAGGAUA
RNAcentral lists this ribosomal RNA (495 nucleotides) under uncultured Mucilaginibacter sp. RNAcentral's name for it is "partial 16S ribosomal RNA". Lineage: Bacteria; Pseudomonadati; Bacteroidota; Sphingobacteriia; Sphingobacteriales; Sphingobacteriaceae. The record is from RNAcentral.